Non-coding RNA from Canis lupus familiaris (dog), 118 nucleotides. The record is from Rfam. Lineage: Eukaryota; Metazoa; Chordata; Mammalia; Carnivora; Canidae.
UUAUGAAUAAAUAAAAUGUUUUUUAAAAAUAACAAAAGUUCUGCAAACAGUAGCCUCCUUGGUAGUGUAUGCAGCCUGUUGAUUGUAUGGGUUGCCCUAAGGGACCUUGGAGACAGCC